RNAcentral lists this ribosomal RNA (301 nucleotides) under uncultured bacterium. RNAcentral's name for it is "partial 16S ribosomal RNA". It matches the Rfam family "Bacterial small subunit ribosomal RNA", at positions 509 to 809 of the family's 1533-position model. The record is from RNAcentral.
CAGCAGCCGCGGUAAUACGAAGGGUGCAAGCGUUAAUCGGAAUUACUGGGCGUAAAGCGUGCGUAGGCGGUUUGUUAAGUCUGUUGUGAAAUCCCCGGGCUCAACCUGGGAAUGGCAAUGGAUACUGGCAAGCUAGAGUGUGUCAGAGGAUGGUGGAAUUCCACGUGUAGCAGUGAAAUGCGUAGAGAUGUGGAGGAACACCGAUGGCGAAGGCAGCCCCCUGGGCCAAUACUGACGCUCAUGCACGAAAGCGUGGGGAGCAAACAGGAUUAGAUACCCCAGUAGUCCCUGUCUCUUAUAA